RNAcentral lists this ribosomal RNA (484 nucleotides) under uncultured bacterium. RNAcentral's name for it is "partial 16S ribosomal RNA". It matches the Rfam family "Bacterial small subunit ribosomal RNA", at positions 30 to 507 of the family's 1533-position model. The record is from RNAcentral.
AUUGAACGCUGGCGGCAGGCCUAACACAUGCAAGUCGAGCGGAUGAAGGGAGCUUGCUCCUGGAUUCAGCGGCGGACGGGUGAGUAAUGCCUAGGAAUCUGCCUGGUAGUGGGGGAUAACGUCCGGAAACGGGCGCUGAUACCGCAUACGUCCUGAGGGAGAAAGUGGGGGAUCUCCGGACCUCACGCUAUCAGAUGAGCCUAGGUCGGAUUAGCUAGUUGGUGGGGUAAAGGCCUACCAAGGCGACGAUCCGUAACUGGUCUGAGAGGAUGAUCAGUCACACUGGAACUGAGACACGGUCCAGACUCCUACGGGAGGCAGCAGUGGGGAAUAUUGGACAAUGGGCGAAAGCCUGAUCCAGCCAUGCCGCGUGUGUGAAGAAGGUCUUCGGAUUGUAAAGCACUUUAAGUUGGGAGGAAGGGCAGUAAGUUAAUACCUUGCUGUUUUGACGUUACCAACAGAAUAAGCACCGGCUAACUUCGUG